Homo sapiens (human) is the source of this 618-nucleotide long non-coding RNA. NCBI's taxonomy places the organism in Eukaryota, Metazoa, Chordata, Mammalia, Primates, Hominidae. The record is from Ensembl.
GGGAGGAGUGCUCGGCCAGGGAGGAGUCUGUUGUCAGAGAGCCUGUGUCGUGGCUGUGGAUGAGGCUUUCUGGAGCUGGGAGCAGGUGUUUGUAUAAGCAAUGGGAAAGGCUCUGGGGAUUAUGCAGGCGUGAAGACCCCACACCAUCGGGGGGCGGAAGGCUGAGUGAUGCUGAGCUGGUGCCACUGCCUGGUGAGAAAGUGGCUCGGUUCAAAGGUACCACGGAAGGAGGGCACGGAGGAGAAGCUUCUGGUGUGGUUUGUCUGUGUGUCUGUGAAGCAUUUACCUCCAACACACUGGCAGAUGGUGCCGAUACCCUGGGGAUAAUAUAAUCAAACUAACCGUCUCUGCGCAGCCUGGAUAAAACCAUGCAAAACGAAAGGUAUCAGCUUGUUUUCAAACAUCACAAAACCAUUCUGAAGAAGCAAACCAGGUUGGAUGAGUCCAAUGACUGAUAUGUGUUCCUAUGACUUCUCCUACACCUGCUUCCUGGCGUGCCCAUCCUGGGACACUGGCGAGUCUGCUCACUGACACUGGCACGGGCCUGUCUGUACAGUCACAGACGGAUUUUGCUCCCUCCGACCUUCCUGGACUCCUGAACCCGAUCAAGAUGCAUCU